Molecule: ribosomal RNA, 589 nt
Filed under: Trichoderma brevicompactum
Lineage: Eukaryota; Fungi; Ascomycota; Sordariomycetes; Hypocreales; Hypocreaceae
Description: partial 18S ribosomal RNA
Rfam family: 5.8S ribosomal RNA (bases 236-389)
Source: RNAcentral
UUCCCGUAGGGGGGGCCUGCGGAGGGAUCAUUACCGAGUUUACAACUCCCAAACCCCUAUGUGAACGUUACCAAACUGUUGCCUCGGCGGGAUUUCUGCCCCGGGCGCGUCGCAGCCCCGGACCAAGGCGCCCGCCGGAGGACCAAUUUACAAACUCUUUUGUAUAUCCCAUCGCGGAUUCUUUACAUUCUGAGCUUUCUCGGCGCUCCUAGCGAGCGUUUCGAAAAUGAAUCAAAACUUUCAACAACGGAUCUCUUGGUUCUGGCAUCGAUGAAGAACGCAGCGAAAUGCGAUAAGUAAUGUGAAUUGCAGAAUUCAGUGAAUCAUCGAAUCUUUGAACGCACAUUGCGCCCGCCAGUAUUCUGGCGGGCAUGCCUGUCCGAGCGUCAUUUCAACCCUCGAACCCCUCCGGGGGGUCGGCGUUGGGGAUCGGCACUUACCUGCCGGCCCCGAAAUACAGUGGCGGUCUCGCCGCAGCCUCUCCUGCGCAGUAGUUUGCACACUCGCACCGGGAGCGCGGCGCGUCCACGGCCGUGAAACAACCCAAACUUCUGAAAUGUGACCUCGGAUCAGGUAGUAAGUGACGUAC